RNAcentral lists this ribosomal RNA (433 nucleotides) under uncultured bacterium. RNAcentral's name for it is "partial 16S ribosomal RNA". It matches the Rfam family "Bacterial small subunit ribosomal RNA", at positions 29 to 507 of the family's 1533-position model. The record is from RNAcentral.
AACGAACGCUGGCGGCAUGCCUAACGCAUGCAAGUCGAACGAGACCUUCGGGUCUAGUGGCGCACGGGUGCGUAACGCGUGGGAACCUGCCCUUAGGUUCGGAAUAACUCCCCGAAAGGGGUGCUAAUACCGGAUAAUGUCUUCGGACCAAAGAUUUAUCGCCUUUGGAUGGGCCCGCGUUGGAUUAGCUAGUUGGUAGGGUAAAAGCCUACCAAGGCGACGAUCCAUAGCUGGUCUGAGAGGAUGAUCAGCCACACUGGGACUGAGACACGGCCCAGACUCCUACGGGAGGCAGCAGUGGGGAAUAUUGGACAAUGGGCGAAAGCCUGAUCCUGCAAUGCCGCGUGAGUGAUGAAGGCCUUAGGGUUGUAAAGCUCUUUUACCCGGGAUGAUAAUGACAGUACCGGGAGAAUAAGCUCCGGCUAACUCCGUG